GUGGGGAAUCUUGCGCAAUGGGCGAAAGCCUGACGCAGCCAUGCCGCGUGAAUGAUGAAGGUCUUAGGAUUGUAAAAUUCUUUCACCGGGGACGAUAAUGACGGUACCCGGAGAAGAAGCUCCGGCUAACUUCGUGCCAGCAGCCGCGGUAAUACGAAGGGGGCUAGCGUUGCUCGGAAUUACUGGGCGUAAAGGGCGCGUAGGCGGACAGCUUAGUCAGAGGUGAAGGCCCAGGGCUCAACCUUGGAAUUGCCUUUGAUACUGGCUGUCUUGAGUUUGGGAGAGGUGAGUGGAACUCCGAGUGUAGAGGUGAAAUUCGUAGAUAUUCGGAAGAACACCAGUGGCGAAGGCGACUCACUGGCCCAAUACUGACGCUGAGGCGCGAAAGCGUGGGGAGCAAACAGGAUUAGAAACCCGGGUAGUCC
This 425-nucleotide ribosomal RNA is filed under the name uncultured bacterium. Its description in RNAcentral is "partial 16S ribosomal RNA". It matches the Rfam family "Bacterial small subunit ribosomal RNA", at positions 354 to 796 of the family's 1533-position model. The record is from RNAcentral.